AUCGUUCAUCCGUAGAAAACAUCGGUGCACGCUGACGUCGUGGAAUUAUUCGUCUCUCGUUGUCGUUUCCCUUCGUGGCCGAGAGCAUCGAAGAGCCAACGACUGACUGGCGAGCGUCGCGCGCGCGUGUCUUUGUUUUUUUCUCCCUUUGCCUUCUCGGUGCUGAAUAACUGGUCAGUUGCGGGAAAUCGAGAGUGUGUUGUACAAGAGUGGUGAAAGACUUUCAGUUAUUCGUGGAUCCUGCGGUGGUAAACAAUCCGUAAGCAGUCAGAGGCCCUUCCUGAGGCGGACGAUCGAGCUCAGCUGAUUCAAGGACUUGCUGCGAAGGGCUCUGCUGCGAUUAAUAGGCGAUAAAUAUGUCGUCCCCCAGCGCUGGAAAACGACGUAUGGACACGGACGUUCUCAAAUUAAUAGAAAGCAAGCAUGAGGUGACGAUACUAGGAGGAUUAAACGAAUUUUCCGUCAAAUUCUACGGUCCACGAGGCACGCCUUACGAGGGUGGAAUAUGGAAGGUGAGGGUUCACUUGCCCGACCACUACCCCUUCAAAUCUCCUUCGAUCGGCUUUAUGAACAAGGUGUACCACCCUAACAUUGACGAGGUCUCAGGCACCGUGUGUCUAGACGUAAUAAACCAAGCCUGGACUGCCCUUUACGAUUUAUCGAAUAUAUUCGAGUCUUUCCUGCCCCAACUGUUAACAUAUCCUAAUCCAAUUGAUCCCUUAAAUGGCGACGCUGCGGCCAUGUAUUUACAUAAACCUGAGGAGUACAAGAAGAAAGUAGCAGAUUACGUGAGGAAAUACGCGACAGAGGAGGCGCUAAGGGACCAGGAGAACGGCGGCACCGGGAACGGGAUGUCGUCCGACAGCGAGUCUUCGAUGAGCGACUUCAGCGAGGACGAGGCGCAGGACAUGGAGUUGUAACCAAAUAUUUUACCAUCCAUAACCAUAUCCUUAAUCUCGAUUCCCUGUAAACUCCGAUCGCUCGUCCUACCAAAUAGAUGCUUACAUUCGAACCUCCCGGACCUCACUAUUAUCGGUUUUUAGCCGCGUGUGGCACUCUCGUCACUUUGUUUCCAAUAGAGAGACCAUCCGGAAUCACGUCCAUCGUUGCUGUUUUAUAAAUCGCGAGGCGUGAAAGGAAACCAAAAAAAGAAAAUAAGAAAAAAACGGUGAUAUGGGAUACGUUUACAGCGAAAGAACGAAGGAACUACUACUAGAAAAAAAAAAAAAAGAGAAAGAAAAACAAAUACAAAGGAAACGAAGUAUAUCAUGUAUAUAAACGAGAAGGAGAGAAUCGCUUUUGGAGUUCUCUUUACGCGAUGAUGGCGUAUGCGCUUUGGUCGUCAUCGUCGCCGUCGAGGAUCAGAAUCGUGUGAACGUCGACCUGGGGACGGGGACGCGACACUACUAAUUACCGAUCGAGAAUCAUUCUUAUUACCGCUCUGUCGAUCGACGCCCAGUCCGAUAUUACUUCAGAUUCAUUGAUAAACGAAUGAUUCCGCGGGGUUUCAAUGUCUACGGAUGAUUGGCGAACAAUAGUGCCGCGAAACGGAUGAGACGAAUUUCCGUGGAAACACUUUUUCUUUAUAAUAUAUAUUAUGUAUAUAUUCCUUGUUCGAAAUGUUUCGCCCUCCUGGUUCUUUCCUUUCUUUUUUACCGAUCAUCGACACUGGUAGCCGUACACCAGAGAUGGGCACAUAACUCGAAUACUGCCUAACGAAUAGAGACACUGUCUACGGAUGUCAUUGUCACACGUUCAUUCGGUCAAACAGGGCGCAGCGGCGGGAAAAGGCGACAGUGUUGAGGACACUAACUUAUCCACGGUAUAAACGGCGACUGAGUUGCGACCAUACGGUCGGGACGUCGCAACCGCAGUUGAAAUCCGCACGUUUCGUCGGAAGGAGAACGAUCGAAGACGCGGGUCAGUUUGAGACGACCGAUCCGGCCGGCUGUCUCGGGAAUUAUCGAGUGUUCGCCCAGUUACGGGAAGAGGAGACGGGCGCAUCGUUCACGGCGGACUCGCGCCAAUAUUCGGAGAUGGACGUUGAUUUAAUUGACGCGGGAGGAAGUAGAAGCGAUCUGGACGCCGCGACGGUUUAGUGUGUCGGAUCCGUUCAAAUCACUGGGAUGAACACCAUUUUUAUUUUAUACACUUCGUGAACAAAGGCCGUCCAUAUUGAACUGGAUUAACAGGCGAUUGAAAAAUUUCACGGUCGGGACAAGAGCAAUUGUUAAAAGUGAUUCUUCUUGUUUU
RNAcentral lists this unclassified non-coding RNA (2253 nucleotides) under Dufourea novaeangliae. Its description in RNAcentral is "ubiquitin-conjugating enzyme E2 H, transcript variant X1". Lineage: Eukaryota; Metazoa; Arthropoda; Insecta; Hymenoptera; Halictidae. The record is from RNAcentral.